Molecule: ribosomal RNA, 506 nt
Filed under: uncultured bacterium
Lineage: Bacteria
Description: partial 16S ribosomal RNA
Rfam family: Bacterial small subunit ribosomal RNA
Source: RNAcentral
AGUGAACGCUGGCGGUAGGCCUAACACAUGCAAGUCGAACGGCAGCACAGGAGAGCUUGCUCUCUGGGUGGCGAGUGGCGGACGGGUGAGGAAUACAUCGGAAUCUACUCUGUCGUGGGGGAUAACGUAGGGAAACUUACACUAAUACCGCAUACGACCUACGGGUGAAAGCAGGGGACCUUCGGGCCUUGCGCGAUUGAAUGAGCCGAUGUCGGAUUAGCUAGUUGGCGGGGUAGAGGCCCACCAAGGCGACGAUCCGUAGCUGGUCUGAGAGGAUGAUCAGCCACACUGGAACUGAGACACGGUCCAGACUCCUACGGGAGGCAGCAGUGGGGAAUAUUGGACAAUGGGCGCAAGCCUGAUCCAGCCAUACCGCGUGGGUGAAGAAGGCCUUCGGGUUGUAAGGCCCUUUUGUUGGGAAAGGAAUCCAGCUGGCUAAUACCCGGUUGGGAUGACGGUACCCAAAGAAUAAGCACCGGCUAACUUCGUGCCAGCCGCCGCAGUAA